UACGUAGGGUCCAAGCGUUAUCCGGAAUCACUGGGCGUAAAGCGUGCGUAGGUGGUUGCUUAAGUGAGUUGUUAAAUCGUGUGGCUCAACCAUAUCGAUGCAAUUCAUACUGGGCGACUAGAGGACAGCAGAGGCAAGUGGAAUUUGUAGUGUAGCAGUGAAAUGCGUAGAUAUUACAAGGAACACCAAUGGCGAAGGCAGCUUGCUGGGCUACUCCUGACACUGAGGUACGAAAGCGUGGGGAGCGAACAGG
Molecule: ribosomal RNA, 253 nt
Filed under: uncultured bacterium
Lineage: Bacteria
Description: partial 16S ribosomal RNA
Rfam family: Bacterial small subunit ribosomal RNA
Source: RNAcentral